AACGAACGCUGGCAGCGUGGAUUAGGCAUGCAAGUCGAACGGAAAUUUCCGGUGUAGCAAUACAUCGGGAAGGAUAGUGGCGAAAGGGCGAGUAAUACGUAGGUAACCUGCCUCGAAGCUGGGGAUAACUUGCCGAAAGGCGAGCUAAUACCGAAUGUGGUUGUUCUUCGCAUGAAGGACGGACUAAACGACGGGGAUUCUUCGGAACCUGUCGCUUUGAGAGGGGCCUGCGUGCCAUCAGCUAGUUGGUGAGGUAACGGCUCACCAAGGCUUACGGCUAGGUGGUCUGAGAGGAUGGUCACCCGCACUGGGACUGAGACACUGCCCAGACUCCUACGGGUGGCAG
RNAcentral lists this ribosomal RNA (346 nucleotides) under uncultured Lentisphaerota bacterium. Its description in RNAcentral is "bacterial SSU rRNA". It matches the Rfam family "Bacterial small subunit ribosomal RNA", at positions 29 to 351 of the family's 1533-position model. The record is from RNAcentral. Lineage: Bacteria; Pseudomonadati; Lentisphaerota.